Aethalodelphis obliquidens (Pacific white-sided dolphin) is the source of this 883-nucleotide long non-coding RNA. RefSeq lists it as uncharacterized. The record is from RefSeq and is a predicted model, not a curated record. The transcript has 5 exons. NCBI's taxonomy places the organism in Eukaryota, Metazoa, Chordata, Mammalia, Artiodactyla, Delphinidae.
AUAGAAGGAGCUACCAAAUAUGGCUGCUGCCAGUGUCUGUGUCCCCAGCAUGAGGUGCAGCCCCUCUGCCCCCACCAUUCCACCCCUCCAGGAGACUCUCCAAGACUAGAAGAGAAAGUGGUUGGUUCAAAGAAAUCAGAGCAGAUACUGCUUUUGGAGUUGCCCUCAUUAUCCCAAAGUGGCUGCUACAGCUGCGUCCACUCUGCAUUCAAGGCAGGAGAAAGGGAACCCUACAGCUUUGCACAGUAUGGAUUCAAGAAAAAUCUCCUGCGGCUCUGACAAAGGAAGGGGGAAAGCAGCAAGGGCAGAUGGAAAUUAUCUACCUUAAGAACUUGGAUCUACCUAAGGAAAGGAAGAGUGUCUGUCAGAGAAGGAAUAGAGGGCUGGAUGUGGCUGGUUCCCCCUGCACAGCAUCAACUGCAGAGAAGCGGCCUUGGACUGAGAGAGGACCACAGAGAAACCAGACCACAGCGAAACCACCCCAAGAGGGGUCUUCCUGGAGGCUGGCUGAAGCGACUUUUCUCUUCAAAAGCAGGGAAAAUGCCUUGCAUCCUGGGGAAAUUUGGGGUCUCAUCUUGGACCACAGUGGCGCUGGGAAUCCCCUACCUCUACCCCUGUCACAGACACACAUGCAUUUUAUGGAUAAGGAGAACAAGAGCCAGAAAAAUAAGUAACUUGCCCAAGAAUGAAACUUUUUGGAAAGCUAUGUCCUAUAGGGGAAUGGGAUGGAAAUGGAAAAGCAGAAAGGCUAUUUGACACACAAGCCCACAAAGGAUCUCAUGUUAAGACGUUACCUUCAUACUAAGUGAAGUAAGUCAGAUAGAGAAAGACAUAUCAUAUGAUGUCACUUAUAUGUGGGAUCUAGAGAAAAAAAAGGAUACAA